RNAcentral lists this ribosomal RNA (253 nucleotides) under uncultured bacterium. Its description in RNAcentral is "partial 16S ribosomal RNA". It matches the Rfam family "Bacterial small subunit ribosomal RNA", at positions 524 to 776 of the family's 1533-position model. The record is from RNAcentral.
UACGUAGGUUGCAAGCGUUAUCCGGAAUUAUUGGGCGUAAAGCGCGCGCAGGCGGUUUCUUAAGUCUGAUGUGAAAGCCCACGGCUCAACCGUGGAGGGUCAUUGGAAACUGGGGAACUUGAGUGCAGAAGAGAAAAGCGGAAUUCCACGUGUAGCGGUGAAAUGCGUAGAGAUGUGGAGGAACACCAGUGGCGAAGGCGGCUUUUUGGUCUGUAACUGACGCUGAGGCGCGAAAGCGUGGGGAGCAAACAGG